UGUGAAUCUCUGACCGCUCCGUUCGAGAAAAGCCUUUUGUCUUUGAUUUUGAGUCAGCGGAAAGGAUGAAGUGUAUUGCAGUCUUUCUUGUGUUGUCCAUGGUCCUUCUCAUGGCUGAACCUGGAGAGUGUUUCUGGAAAUGGAUUGCCGGCCAUGUGGCGAAUGGGAUCAAAGGAAUCAUUAAUGGUGGGGGGGAAGAUCAGCAAGAGCUGCAAGAUCAGCUGGACAAACGUUCAAUUGACUACAACCCAGGCCCCCCACCCCCGGGCCCCCCUCGUUUUCACUAAACUGAUGGGACCAUUCUAAAGUUAUGUUCUGGAUGAAAAUAAAUUCCGCUUCUUGCUCUUUCACAUACUGUGAGAAAGAAAAGUAUAUAUCAAUAUGUAUAUGCAGCAAUCUUUAAUUAAUUUGGUAGA
Molecule: long non-coding RNA, 416 nt
Organism: Perca flavescens (yellow perch)
Lineage: Eukaryota; Metazoa; Chordata; Actinopteri; Perciformes; Percidae
Exons: 4
Source: RefSeq, a predicted model, not a curated record